CCUACGGGAGGCAGCAGUGGGGAAUAUUGCACAAUGGGGGAAACCCUGAUGCAGCAACGCCGCGUGAGUGAAGAAGGCAUUCGUGAUGUAAAGCUCUAUCAGCAGGGAAGAAAAUGAUGGUACCUGACUAAGAAGCCCCGGCUAACUACGUGCCAGCAGCCGCGGUAAUACGAAGGGGGCAAGUGUUAUCCGGAUUGACUGGGUGUAAAGGGAGCGUAGACGGCGACGCAAGUCGGAAGUGAAAUGCCAGUGCUCAACACUGGAACUGCUUUGGAAACUGUGUAGCUAGAGUGCAGGAGAGGUAAGUGGAUUUCCUCGUGUAGCGGUGCUAUGCGUCUCUAUUAGGCG
Molecule: ribosomal RNA, 348 nt
Filed under: uncultured bacterium
Lineage: Bacteria
Description: partial 16S ribosomal RNA
Rfam family: Bacterial small subunit ribosomal RNA
Source: RNAcentral